CCUCAGGACGGCUCCUGUCUCAUCAGGGAACCCUCCUGGCCCAUGUCCACCCAUCAGCUGCUGGCUCCCCCCUGCUAGGAGGAUUUUUUUAAUGGGGUGAAAAUGCCAGUCCCCGAAGCUAGGGUUCCCGGACCCCCAGGGCUGCCCUGGGCGCGGGAGCCCCAUAGGGGCGGGGAGGCCAGCCGAGCUUGAAGAAGUGGAGGAGAGAUCUACACAACUUAAGUCGGGCAUCCCCAUCCCGUCAGUCUGCUUAUCCUCCUUUGCCCCCAGCUCCAUCUCUGCGACACCCUCCCCCCCC
Molecule: non-coding RNA, 298 nt
Organism: Heterocephalus glaber (naked mole-rat)
Lineage: Eukaryota; Metazoa; Chordata; Mammalia; Rodentia; Bathyergidae
Source: RefSeq, a predicted model, not a curated record